AAUAUUGGAAAAUGGGCGAAAGCCUGAUCCAGCCAUGCCGCGUGUGUGAAGAAGGUCUUCGGAUUGUACCGCACCUUAAGUUGGGAGGAAGGGCAGUAAGUUAAUACCUUGCUGUUUUGACGUUACCGACAGAAUAAGCACCGGCUAACUUCGUGCCAGCAGCCGCGGUAAUACAAAGUGUGCAAGCGUUAAUCGGAAUUACUGGGCGUAAAGUGGCCGAGGGUGGUUGGUUAAUUUGGACGUAAAGGCCCCGGCUUCACCCUGGGACUGCCUUUCAAAACUGCAAGGCUAAGGUAGGUCAAAGGUUGGUGAAAUUUCUUGUGAGGCGGUAAAAUGCGUAAAUAUAGGAAGAACCCCCAGUGGCGAGGCCAACCACCGGGGCAAUUAUUGCCACUAAGGUGCAAAAGCGUGGGAGGAAAA
RNAcentral lists this ribosomal RNA (420 nucleotides) under uncultured bacterium. Its description in RNAcentral is "partial 16S ribosomal RNA". It matches the Rfam family "Bacterial small subunit ribosomal RNA", at positions 360 to 772 of the family's 1533-position model. The record is from RNAcentral.